This 468-nucleotide ribosomal RNA is filed under the name uncultured bacterium. RNAcentral's name for it is "partial 16S ribosomal RNA". It matches the Rfam family "Bacterial small subunit ribosomal RNA", at positions 28 to 507 of the family's 1533-position model. The record is from RNAcentral.
GAUGAACGCUGGCGGCGUGCUUAACACAUGCAAGUCGAACGGUGAAGGCGGAGCUUGCUCUGCUGGAUCAGUGGCGAACGGGUGAGUAACACGUGAGCAAUCUGUCCCUGACUCUGGGAUAAGCGCUGGAAACGGCGGCUAAUACUGGAUACGAGCUGCGAAGGCAUAUGCAGCAGCUGGGAAGAACUGCGGUGAGGGAUGAGCUCGCGGCCUAUCAGCUUGUUUGGGAGGUAGCGGCGCACCAAGGCGUCGACGGGUAGCCGGCCUGAGAGGGUGACCGGCCACACUGGGACUGAGACACGGCCCAGACUCCUACGGGAGGCAGCAGUGGGGAAUAUUGCACAAUGGGCGAAAGCCUGAUGCAACAACGCCGCGUGAGGGACGACGGCCUUCGGGUUGUAAACCUCUUUUAGCAGGGAAGAAGCGAAAGUGACGGUACCUACAGAAAAAGCGCCGGCUAACUACGUG